UGGGGAAUUUUCCGCAAUGGGCGAAAGCCUGACGGAGCAAUACCGCGUGAGGGAGGAAGGCUUUUGGGUUGUAAACCUCUUUUCUCAAGGAAGAAGUUCUGACGGUACUUGAGGAAUCAGCAUCGGCUAACUCCGUGCCAGCAGCCGCGGUAAUACGGAGGAUGCAAGCGUUAUCCGGAAUUAUUGGGCGUAAAGCGUCCGUAGGCGGUUAAUUAAGUCAGUUGUUAAAGACUGCAGCUCAACUGUGGGAGAGCAACUGAAACUGAUUAACUAGAGUGCGAUAGGGGUAGAGGGAAUUCCCAGUGUAGCGGUGAAAUGCGUAGAUAUUGGGAAGAACACCAGUGGCGAAGGCGCUCUACUGGGUCGCAACUGACGCUGAGGGACGAAAGCUAGGGGAGCGAAAGGGAUUAGAUACCCCCGUAGUCC
RNAcentral lists this ribosomal RNA (426 nucleotides) under uncultured prokaryote. RNAcentral describes it as "bacterial SSU rRNA". It matches the Rfam family "Bacterial small subunit ribosomal RNA", at positions 355 to 796 of the family's 1533-position model. The record is from RNAcentral.